CUGAACCCACUGGAAAUUUCGUUGUAGUUCUCACACCACUAACCCUACAGAUCCGAGCGCGAGAGGGGCGGCGGAGGAUCGAGGCAAGAGUGGCCACCGGAGUUAUGCAUUUUAGUCAUUCCCUUUUUGGUUCAUGUAUCAACUUUCUUUUGUUGGUUAGAAUUAUAAAGUUGUAAACAAUAAUGUAUUUUGGGAGAAUGAUUAAGAUGUAAAAGAAUUUAUGAAUGAAAGUAAAGAGAAUGUAAUAGUUUUAGUUUACUGUAUUUGGUUUAAAUGUAAUCAAAUAUUAUGUAUGGUUUUAUGUUUUAGCUUAGAGUUUUCGCUUCUAUUGUUGCUUGCCCUCGUGCAAGCCUUAUAUAAUUGCAAAUCUCUUUAUUUGAUUGCUUAAUUAUAC
RNAcentral lists this long non-coding RNA (394 nucleotides) under Ananas comosus (pineapple). RNAcentral's name for it is "long non-coding RNA (ACOM_LNC005484)". Lineage: Eukaryota; Viridiplantae; Streptophyta; Magnoliopsida; Poales; Bromeliaceae. The record is from RNAcentral.